GGAAGGAUCAUUAACACGUAUCCACGUUUAACUACCUACCGAGAACCGUUUUCACCUCUCCCUUUUACAUCAGAAUGAAUUGAACCGACUCAAGCAAAUGGUAUGCGGCUGUUCUCGAACAGUAUACUUGUACGGGGAACUGAAUCGAUCCUUUCGGGGGCCUUUUCGACAAUUGUAUCUGAUUGUAGGAGGACAAAACCUGCUCUUUUUACCGCGAUCUCCAUACCUGAUUCUGGUAAACUGGGCAAAACCCAAUAAAACACUUAUAUUAACUUAUUUCACCCCCCUUUUUGCUAGUUGACUUUUUAAUAUGUUGUUCUCUUUUUCUUGCUUCGGCCAGAAGAUUAGUUCACACGUUUAAUUAUUUGAACGUUAAAAAAUACAACUCUUAGCAAUGGAUAUCUUGGUUCUCGCAACGAUGAAGAACGCAGCGAAAUGCGAUACGUAAUGCGAAUUGCAGAAUUCAGUGAAUCAUCAAAUCUUUGAACGCAAAUUGCGCUUCUGGGUAGCCCUAGGAGCACGCCUCUCUCAGUAUCGGUUCAACCAUCUCUCAGCAGCGUUUUCGUUUGGUAAAGGAUUUUUUUUAUUAAACAUUCUUUCUUGAACGGAGCGUGUUGGCUGGAUAAUGAGAGUCUGUACGCCCUGGUGCUGCAGUCUCUUGAAAUACAUGGAGUAAACUAACAUACGACUUAACGAUCAAUUCCAGACUUCGGUUUGGAUAGUCAGUUGCUGGCUGUUGUUCGUGUAGUGACGUGAAUAUUGGGUCUUUAUUGAUCUUACUCUUUUACGUUUAUCUAUCGGAUGACAAUUAAAAAGCUAAGCUUCAGGCGAACGUUCAUUUUAGUGUAAUGUCUAUUUAUGCGAAGAAAACCAUAUGGUUAGUUUUCAGAUUUUUUCAUUAAAUCUGUUCUUUAACCUGAAUUUUGAUCUGAGAUGAAGCGAGACAACCCCCUGAAUUUAAGCAUAUUAAUAAGGGGAGGAAAAGAAACUAACAAGGAUUCCCCCAGUAACGGCGAGUGAAGCGGGAAGAGCUCAAUUUGAAAAUCGACUACCUAAACGGGUCGUCGAGUUGUAGCCUAGAGACGUACUAUCAGCUGAAACCUGGGUAUAAGUUCUUUGGAAUGAGGCAUCAUAGAGGGUGAGAAUCCCGUUUAUGACCCAAAGCUUUCAGCGUACGAUGUAUGUUCAUCGAGUCGAGUUGUUUGGGAUUGCAGCUCUAAAUGGGUGGUAAGUUUCAUCUAAAGCUAAAUAAUGGCGAGAGACCGAUAGCGAACAAGUACCGUGAGGGAAAGAUGAAAAGAACUUUGAAAAGAGAGUUAAAAGUACUUGAAAUUGCUAAGAGGGAAGCGCUAAAAACCAGUGAUACGCUGCGUCAAUCGUUUUCGGCCCCACUAGUUUGCGUUUUGUCAUGGGCAACCUGGCAUGCGUAACCGAAAGGGUGGUUGGGAAUUUAUGAUGUAGUGUCAGUCAAGAUCAAUUCGGAUUGUGGGAGAAGGUAGCGAGAAAGGUAGGAGAGCAAUCUCUGUUAUAUUCUUGUUACUCUACCUCGGCCUGGAUUGAGGAAGUAAUGGUGCGCCGCUUGCGGCUUGGUCCCGUGUCUCUGUUGUCCCAGGCGCUCUGAUAGCAAUGCUAUCUCUGUGUUGAAAGGCAAUACUGGGCGCGGUGAUUCUAUGUGCCAUCACGAUCUUGUACGAAAUGGUUUUUAUCGACCCGUCUUGAAACACGGACCAAGGAGUCUAACAUCUAUGCAAGUAUUUGGGUGCAAAACCCUGAUGCGUAAUGAAAGUAAAGGCAGCCUCGUUGUUGCUGAGGUAGGAAUCCCUUAAACAAGGAGGCACUAUCGACCGAUCAUCACUUGUGAAAGAUUUGAGUAAGAGCAUAUCUGUUGGGACCCGAAAGAUGGUGAUCUAUGCCUGAACAGGGUGAAGCCAGGGGAAACUCUGGUGGAGGCUCGUAGCGAUACUGACGUGCAAAUCGUUCGUCUGAUUUGGGUAUAGGGGCGAAAGACUAAUCGAACCAUCUAGUAGCUGGUUCCCUC
This 2038-nucleotide unclassified non-coding RNA is filed under the name uncultured fungus. RNAcentral's name for it is "sequence contains 18S rRNA gene, ITS1, 5.8S rRNA gene, ITS2, 28S rRNA gene". The stretch from base 925 to 2038 matches the Rfam family "Eukaryotic large subunit ribosomal RNA", at positions 1 to 961 of the family's 3401-position model. The record is from RNAcentral. Lineage: Eukaryota; Fungi.